Molecule: ribosomal RNA, 427 nt
Filed under: uncultured bacterium
Lineage: Bacteria
Also listed under: 1 other name
Description: bacterial SSU rRNA
Rfam family: Bacterial small subunit ribosomal RNA
Source: RNAcentral
UGGGGAAUAUUGGACAAUGGGCGCAAGCCUGAUCCAGCCAUGCCGCGUGUGUGAAGAAGGCCUUAGGGUUGUAAAGCACUUUCAGUGGGGAGAAAGGUUAUUCACCUAAUACGUGAGUAAAUUGAUGUUACCCACAGAAGAAGCACCGGCUAACUCCGUGCCAGCAGCCGCGGUAAUACGGAGGGUGCAAGCGUUAAUCGGAAUUACUGGGCGUAAAGCGCACGUAGGUGGUUUGUUAAGCUAGCUGUGAAAUCCCCGGGCUCAACCUGGGCACUGCAGUUAGAACUGGCAAGCUAGAGUAGGGUAGAGGGGUGUGGAAUUCCAGGUGUAGCGGUGAAAUGCGUAGAUAUCUGGAGGAACAUCAGUGGCGAAGGCGACACCCUGGACUCAUACUGACACUGAGGUGCGAAAGCGUGGGGAGCAAACA